Molecule: ribosomal RNA, 290 nt
Filed under: uncultured bacterium
Lineage: Bacteria
Description: partial 16S ribosomal RNA
Rfam family: Bacterial small subunit ribosomal RNA
Source: RNAcentral
GAUGAACGCUAGCGGCAGGCUUAAUACAUGCAAGUCGAACGGUAAGUAGUGUAGCAAUACAUUACCAAGAGUGACGUACGGGUGCGUAACACGUAUGCAACCUACCUUGUACAGGAGUAUAGCUCGGGGAAACUCGAAUUAACCCUCCAUAAGAUCGUGGUGUGGCAUCACACAGCGAUAAAAACUCAGGUGGUACAAGCUGGGCAUGCGUCUGAUUAGAGUUGGCGGGGUAACGGCCCACCAAGACGAUGAUCAGUAGGGGAACUGAGAGGUUGAUCCCCCACACUGGC